GAAACCCGGGAGGAAGGUGGGGAUGACGUCAAGUCAUCAUGGCCCUUACGGCCUGGGCUACACACGUGCUACAAUGGUCGGUACAAAGGGUUGCCAAGCCGCGAGGUGGAGCUAAUCCCAUAAAACCGAUCGUAGUCCGGAUCGCAGUCUGCAACUCGACUGCGUGAAGUCGGAAUCGCUAGUAAUCGUGAAUCAGAAUGUCACGGUGAAUACGUUCCCGGGCCUU
This 226-nucleotide ribosomal RNA is filed under the name uncultured Pseudomonas sp. Its description in RNAcentral is "partial 16S ribosomal RNA". It matches the Rfam family "Bacterial small subunit ribosomal RNA", at positions 1157 to 1382 of the family's 1533-position model. The record is from RNAcentral. Lineage: Bacteria; Pseudomonadati; Pseudomonadota; Gammaproteobacteria; Pseudomonadales; Pseudomonadaceae.